AGGUGGCAGGUGGGGAGGGCUGAGGGAGAAAAUCAGGAAGCGGUAGUUUUCUUUGUCGCUUUAUCUGAAUGAAGCUU
MicroRNA precursor from Tursiops truncatus (common bottlenose dolphin), 77 nucleotides. NCBI's taxonomy places the organism in Eukaryota, Metazoa, Chordata, Mammalia, Artiodactyla, Delphinidae. The record is from Ensembl.